RNAcentral lists this long non-coding RNA (587 nucleotides) under Salmo salar (Atlantic salmon). RNAcentral's name for it is "lncRNA (ENSSSAG00000102807.1)". The record is from RNAcentral. Lineage: Eukaryota; Metazoa; Chordata; Actinopteri; Salmoniformes; Salmonidae.
GGGAGGGAAGGCUGGAUGGGACUGAGGAAGGCUGGGGAUGGGAGGGAUGGAAGGCUGGAUGGGACUGAGUAAGGCUGGGGAUGGGAGGGAUGGAAGGGACUGAGUAAUGCUGGGGAUAGGAGGGAGGGAAGGCUGGAUGGGAGGGAAGGCUGGAUGGGACUGGGACAGAGUAAGGCUGGGGAUGGGAGGGAGGUAAGGCUGGAUGGGACUGACUAAGGCUGGGGAUGGGAGGCUGGAUGGAGAAUAAAGUAGAAUACUCUAUUGCAGACAUGACAAUCAACCUCUUACAAUGAUUGAAAACCAUGUAACAAAAACAUUCAAAACUUGACUUACAAUACUUUACAAGGAACCAAUCAAUGUGCUACAGUUCUAACAAUAGAAUCGUCCCGGGACUAAAGGGAUUCUCUUAAGACCAAUGUGAUUGUCUCAGAGUUAAGAUAAAAAUAACACAUAAAACAAAGCAUUCAAAAGGGCUAGCAGCAGCCGCCACAGUUUAAAAGUUAAAAGACCAAACCUUUGAGAAAGGUCCGGGGCUAUGGGUAAUAUAAAUAACAUUUCAUAAGAGGUUUAUAUUAUUGAAACCAAUA